UCGAUCACACCAGCACUAAUGCACCGGAUCCCAUUAGAACUCCGAAGUUAUGCUUGUUUGGGCGUGGGCAGUACUAGGAUGGGUGACCCCCUGGGAAGUCCUCGUGUUGCUCCU
RNAcentral lists this ribosomal RNA (114 nucleotides) under Zingiber officinale. Lineage: Eukaryota; Viridiplantae; Streptophyta; Magnoliopsida; Zingiberales; Zingiberaceae. The record is from RNAcentral.